Molecule: ribosomal RNA, 406 nt
Filed under: uncultured bacterium
Lineage: Bacteria
Description: partial 16S ribosomal RNA
Rfam family: Bacterial small subunit ribosomal RNA
Source: RNAcentral
UGGGGAAUUUUGGACAAUGGGCGAAAGCCUGAUCCAGCAAUGCCGCGUGUGUGAAGAAGGCCUUCGGGUUGUAAAGCACUUUUGUCCGGAAAGAAAUCCUUGGCUCUAAUACAGUCGGGGGAUGACGGUACCGGAAGAAUAAGCACCGGCUAACUACGUGCCAGCAGCCGCGGUAAUACGUAGGGUGCAAGCGUUAAUCGGAAUUACUGGGCGUAAAGCGUGCGCAGGCGGUUUGCUAAGACCGAUGUGAAAUCCCGGGCUCAACCUGGGAACUGCAUUGGUGACUGGCAGGCUAGAGUAUGGCAGAGGGGGGUAGAAUUCCACGUGUAGCAGUGAAAUGCGUAGAGAUGUGGAGGAAUACCGAUGGCGAAGGCAGCCCCCUGGCAAGUACUGACGCUCAUGCACG